AGCGACCCCUCGUGCGACGGCAUCGUGCUGAACCCCCCCAGGGCCGGAAGGCAGCAAGGGCAGGUGCGCUCUGCUGGGUGUGCGGGGGGUCCCGGCA
Molecule: signal recognition particle RNA, 97 nt
Filed under: Actinomycetota bacterium
Lineage: Bacteria; Bacillati; Actinomycetota
Description: Actinobacteria bacterium (aquatic metagenome) signal recognition particle sRNA small type
Rfam family: Bacterial small signal recognition particle RNA
About the family: The signal recognition particle (SRP) is a universally conserved ribonucleoprotein involved in the co-translational targeting of proteins to membranes. Archaeal SRP consists of a 7S RNA and homologues of the eukaryotic SRP19 and SRP54 proteins. In most bacteria, the SRP consists of a 4.5S RNA and the Ffh protein (a homologue of the eukaryotic SRP54 protein).
Source: RNAcentral